RNAcentral lists this ribosomal RNA (253 nucleotides) under uncultured bacterium. RNAcentral describes it as "partial 16S ribosomal RNA". It matches the Rfam family "Bacterial small subunit ribosomal RNA", at positions 524 to 776 of the family's 1533-position model. The record is from RNAcentral.
UACGUAGGGUGCAAGCGUUAAUCGGAAUUACUGGGCGUAAAGCGUGCGCAGGCGGUUGUGCAAGACAGAUGUGAAAUCCCCGGGCUUAACCUGGGAAUUGCAUUUGUGACUGCACGGCUAGAGUGUGUCAGAGGGGGGUAGAAUUCCACGUGUAGCAGUGAAAUGCGUAGAGAUUUGGAGGAAUACCGAUGGCGAAGGCAGCCCCCUGGGAUAGAACUGACGCUCAUGCACGAAAGCGUGGGUAGCAAACAGG